CCUACGGGGGGCUGCAGUGGGGAAUAUUGCACAAUGGGGGAAACCCUGAUGCAGCGACGCCGCGUGAGUGAAGAAGUAUUUCGGUAUGUAAAGCUCUAUCAGCAGGGAAGAAAAUGACGGUACCUGACUAAGAAGCCCCGGCUAACUACGUGCCAGCAGCCGCGGUAAUACGUAGGGGGCAAGCGUUAUCCGGAUUUACUGGGUAUAAAGGGAGCGUAGGUGGUGUGGUAAGUCAGAUGUGAAAGCCCGGGGCUCAACUCCGGGAUUGCAUUUGAAACUAUCAUGCUAGAGUGCAGGAGAGGUAAGUGGAAUUCCUAGUGUAGCGGUGAAAUGCGUAGAUAUUAGGAGGAACACCAGUGGCGAAGGCGUCUUACUGGACUGUAACUGACACUGAGGCUCGAAAGCGUGGGUAGCAAACAGGAUUAGAUACCCCAGUAGUC
Molecule: ribosomal RNA, 440 nt
Filed under: uncultured Lachnospiraceae bacterium
Lineage: Bacteria; Bacillati; Bacillota; Clostridia; Lachnospirales; Lachnospiraceae
Description: bacterial SSU rRNA
Rfam family: Bacterial small subunit ribosomal RNA
Source: RNAcentral